CACUCUUGCAACGAUUCUUUGCUUGCUUCUCCCCACUGUAGUGUCUUUUCAUUUACCAACUCCUUUCUCAGGGUCUGGUAGGGGAUCCCAGGCCAGCAUCCUUCUCUGAGCAGCUGCCCUCCCAUGUGCCUGCUCUCAGUGCCUCCCCAGCGCCUCUGGCACAUGGCCAUGAUCCUUUCCUUCUGGGGACGUGCCGUGGUCAAGGUGAAAAGUGGCUGAGGUGAAAAGUGCAAGCAAAAUCCUUGUUAACAUUAUGGGAAUACAUUACUGUACGUGUUUGUAUAUAAACUCUUGGAGCUUCACCAAGUUAACUCUGUGUCAUGAUGCAUGCAACCACGUGUGGGACUAUUGCUUCAUUUCAUAGAUAAGAUUGCUCUUUGCUAGGAGGCCUUCUUCUGAUUUGGUGGGGUUUUUUGCUACAUGUACUUAUUCUGGAUCUGUUUGUAAUGUUGAUUUGUUUUUCCUUGUGAUGAGGUAAACACAGCUACAGACUCCAGUUCUGUGUUUCCUCACCUACAGCUCAGGGACACUGUUGUAAAUGACACUGCACAGACAAGCCAAGCCAGAAUCCAAAGCUCUGGAUUUUGACAUUGCUCAGCCAUCCAGAUUUGGCCAUGUGUUUAGCGACGAGACCCUUCUCUUAAGUCACUAAAGACCAUCAAACACAUGUUGAGCUAUGGCAUUGAAAAAAACCUACAAAACCUGUGCCUGUGACUUUGGUAAACAGCAGCAAAAGAGAUCACUACCUCCCAUGAAGAAAGAACCUCACAGGAAGAGAAGUCAUCUCCAUACUACCUAAUGUGUGGAAAAAACAACAGCCAGAAGUUUACUGAACAAGCAGGCACAGAUUUUUCCCUGCCAAAAGAUGUAAUGUCACAUGGAUCUGGUAACUCUGCUGGCCUGGAGCCUCCACCAGACUGCUGUGGUGGCUCCCACCAGAGACCGGUGUUGUGAGCGCACAGGGGCUGCAGCAUGAUGACCUUUCCUUGGCUUUCUGCUGCUCCCCACAUCUGCUGCAAAGCCACUUUCCCUGUUUAUUGUGAGACCAUGCUGUCACCACCUGCCACUGCUGUCAUUGUCCCCACACCUUGGACCUAGGCUGUAUUAAUUCCUGCAGGGACCUGUUCAGAGUCAGCCCACGCAUAGCAAGUCUCUAACAACUUCUCUAAGGAACUUUAGAAACCAUUAAGCUGGCACAAGACAAGUACAGACCCAGAGCCUCCCUGGAGCACAGCAGAUGCCCUAUCUACCUGCCACAAUCUUCAUGUCCUCCUGAACAGAGAAGGUGUGCUCCCAACAGAUAAGAGUUAGCCCCAGAACUUUGGUGUAACUGCCAGAUUAAAGAACAAAUAUAAAAAAAACCCUUUAAAACCACUGUAUUUUUAUUGUAAAAUCACUUAUUUAUGUCACAAGACAA
Molecule: long non-coding RNA, 1417 nt
Filed under: Lonchura striata (white-rumped munia)
Lineage: Eukaryota; Metazoa; Chordata; Aves; Passeriformes; Estrildidae
Description: domestica (Bengalese finch) lncRNA (ENSLSDG00000002199.1)
Source: RNAcentral